UGUUGGAUAGAGCUCCAAAUUUCGCAAACCAUGAUUUGAGGAUUCUCUUGGGAAAACUUGCAACUAAGUUGUACACUUUAAAUUCUUAUCAUCCUCAAAAGCAUGGUCAAAAUACAUUUGAAAAUCUAGCUCUUUCUACUAUGCCUAGAAUAAUCAUAAAGGACAAACACAACUCUAGAGAUGAGCAUACAUACCAUAGCGUAGUUCACAAAACUACCAAUAUUUUCCCAUUUGAAGUUGUAUAUAGACUUAAU
Molecule: long non-coding RNA, 254 nt
Filed under: Phaseolus vulgaris (common bean)
Lineage: Eukaryota; Viridiplantae; Streptophyta; Magnoliopsida; Fabales; Fabaceae
Description: long non-coding RNA (PVUL_LNC003536)
Source: RNAcentral